RNAcentral lists this ribosomal RNA (500 nucleotides) under uncultured bacterium. RNAcentral describes it as "partial 16S ribosomal RNA". It matches the Rfam family "Bacterial small subunit ribosomal RNA", at positions 28 to 523 of the family's 1533-position model. The record is from RNAcentral.
GUUGAACGCUGGCGGCAUGCCUUACACAUGCAAGUCGAACGGCAGCACGGGGGCAACCCUGGUGGCGAGUGGCGAACGGGUGAGUAAUACAUCGGAACGUGUCCUUUCGUGGGGGAUAACCAGUCGAAAGACUGGCUAAUACCGCAUGAGAUCUCACGAUGAAAGCGAGGGACCGCAAGGCCUCGCGCGAUUGGAGCGGCCGAUGUCGGAUUAGGUAGUUGGUGGGGUAAAGGCCCACCAAGCCAACGAUCUGUAGCUGGUCUGAGAGGACGACCAGCCACACUGGAACUGAGACACGGUCCAGACUCCUACGGGAGGCAGCAGUGGGGAAUUUUGGACAAUGGGCGAAAGCCUGAUUCAGCCAUUCCGCGUGCAGGAUGAAGGCCCUCGGGUUGUAAACUGCUUUUGUACAGAACGAAAAGGUUUCUACUGAUACUAGGAGCUCAUGACGGUACUGUAAGAAUAAGCACCGGCUAACUACGUGCCAGCCGCCGCCGUAA